UACGUAGGGUGCAGGCGUUAAUCGGAAUUACUGGGCGUAAAGCGUGCGCAGGCGGUUUGUUAAGACAGAUGUGAAAUCCCCGGGCUCAACCUGGGAACAGCGCUUGAGACUGGCACGCUCGAGUUCGGGAGAGGAUGGUGGAAUUCCCAGUGUAGAGGUGAAAUUCGUAGAUAUUGGGAAGAACACCGAUGGCGAAGGCAGCCAUCUGGACCGACACUGACGCUGAGGCGCGAAAGCGUGGGGAGCAAACAGG
This 253-nucleotide ribosomal RNA is filed under the name uncultured bacterium. RNAcentral describes it as "partial 16S ribosomal RNA". It matches the Rfam family "Bacterial small subunit ribosomal RNA", at positions 524 to 776 of the family's 1533-position model. The record is from RNAcentral.